GGGAGCCCAGGGCUGUCCUCGGGUAAUGCUUUGUGUGGCUCCUAGAAAUAGAGGUCCACACUAGAUGGUGGGAUCCAUGUCCAGGUUAAACUAAUUUCGGUGUCUCCCCAAUCCCCUCUGCCUACCAUACCCCAUGCAGAGUGAGUGCCUCCUUUCCAUUGAGGGUUUUGUGCCAAUCCACCUCACCACUGGGCUGCAGGCUAUGGGGGCUAUAAGGGCUGGGGGAGACAGGGAGAACGGGGAGAAAGGAAGCCAGAAUUGACUAACCAUUUCUUUUCCACUGGUGUCUCCUGGGCUAGUGCAUCUUGCUGCAGAGGGAAAUUGAAGACCUUAGAGACCAACUAGCUGCCAUGCAGUUCCUCACUGACAAGUUCCAGGACCUGUGAAGUUGGAGCCAGCAUCUUCCUACAAGAUGAGCAGCUGCUACCUUUGGAGCUCCGGAGCUGCAGCUAAGCGGGUUCCCUCCAUAUCCUGUUCAGCCAGGGCUUCCUCUCUUCUGCUGCAUUUG
This 508-nucleotide long non-coding RNA is filed under the name Homo sapiens (human). RNAcentral's name for it is "HSALNT0283519". Lineage: Eukaryota; Metazoa; Chordata; Mammalia; Primates; Hominidae. The record is from RNAcentral.